This is a long non-coding RNA of Rhipicephalus sanguineus (brown dog tick), 274 nucleotides long. RefSeq lists it as uncharacterized. Lineage: Eukaryota; Metazoa; Arthropoda; Arachnida; Ixodida; Ixodidae. The transcript is spliced from 2 exons. The record is from RefSeq and is a predicted model, not a curated record.
UAUAUAUAUAUAUAUAUAUAUAUAUAUAUAUAUAUAUAUAUAGCCCCGCCGCGGUGGUCUAGUGGCUAAGGUACUCGGCUGCUGACCCGCAGGUCGCGGGAUUGAAUCCCGGCUGCGGCGUCUGCAUUUUCGAUGGAGGCGAAAAUGCUGUAAGCCCGUGUGCUCAGAUUUGGGUGCACGUUAAAGAACCCCAGGUGGUCAAAAUUUCCGGAGCCCUCCACUACGGCGUCUCUCAUAAUCAUAUCGUGGUUUUGGGACGUUAAACCCCAGAUAU